GACAGAGGGUGCAAACGUUGCUCGGAAUCACUGGGCGUAAAGCGCGUGUAGGCGGCCAGGUAGGUCCGUUGUGAAAACUCGAGGCUCAACCUCGAGACGUCGACGGAAACCAUCUGGCUAGAGUCCGGAAGAGGAGAGUGGAAUUCCCGGUGUAGCGGUGAAAUGCGCAGAUAUCGGGAGGAACACCAGUAGCGAAGGCGGUUACCUGGAGCUUUGCUGACGCUGAUGCGCGAAAGCGUGGGGAGCGAUCCGG
Molecule: ribosomal RNA, 253 nt
Filed under: uncultured bacterium
Lineage: Bacteria
Description: partial 16S ribosomal RNA
Rfam family: Bacterial small subunit ribosomal RNA
Source: RNAcentral